RNAcentral lists this ribosomal RNA (253 nucleotides) under uncultured prokaryote. RNAcentral describes it as "partial 16S ribosomal RNA". It matches the Rfam family "Bacterial small subunit ribosomal RNA", at positions 524 to 776 of the family's 1533-position model. The record is from RNAcentral.
UACGGAGGGUGCAAGCGUUAUUCGGAAUGACUGGGCGUAAAGGGUGUGUAGGCGGUAUGUUAAGCUUGCUGUUAAAUUCUCCGGCCUAACUGGAGACAUGCAGUGAGAACUGGCGUUCUUGAGGGUGAGAGAGAGAAGUGGAAUUCCCGGAGUAGCGGUAAAAUGCGUAGAUCUCGGGAGGAACACCGAUGGCGAAGGCAGCUUCUUGGCUCAUACCUGACGCUGAAACACGAAAGCGUGGGGAGCAAACAGG